This 465-nucleotide ribosomal RNA is filed under the name uncultured bacterium. Its description in RNAcentral is "partial 16S ribosomal RNA". It matches the Rfam family "Bacterial small subunit ribosomal RNA", at positions 28 to 507 of the family's 1533-position model. The record is from RNAcentral.
GACGAACGCUGGCGGCGUGCUUAACACAUGCAAGUCGAACGGUAAGGCCCCUUCGGGGGUACACGAGUGGCGAACGGGUGCGUAACACGUGAGCAACCUGCCCUUGACUCUGGAAUAACAGUUGGAAACAGCUGCUAAUACUGGAUAUUCAUCGUCUCCUUCCUGGGGGGUGGUGGAAAGCUCCGGCGGUCAGGGAUGGGCUCGCGGCCUAUCAGCUUGUUGGUGAGGUAAUGGCUCACCAAGGCUUCGACGGGUAGCCGGCCUGAGAGGGCGACCGGCCACACUGGGACUGAGAUACGGCCCAGACUCCUACGGGAGGCAGCAGUGGGGAAUAUUGCACAAUGGGCGCAAGCCUGAUGCAGCAACGCCGCGUGCGGGAUGACGGCCUUCGGGUUGUAAACCGCUUUCAGUAGGGACGAAGGGUGACUGACGGUACCUACAGAAGAAGGGCCGGCUAACUACGUG